Molecule: non-coding RNA, 776 nt
Filed under: Achelia bituberculata
Lineage: Eukaryota; Metazoa; Arthropoda; Pycnogonida; Pantopoda; Ammotheidae
Source: RNAcentral
GUCUAUGUAAAUGUUUAAUAAUUAUAUAGUUUGAUUUUAGCUACUUUUUUAAUUAAUAUCAUUUUUUAACAUGUAGUUUUAAUUAAUUAAAGGCGAUCAGUAAUUAGUAUUAUUAGUAAUAAUUAAAAAAUUUAUAAAGAUAUGAUAAUAUUAGGAUUGGAAAAAUUUGUGCCAGCAUCCGCGGUUAGACUUAUAAUCCGAAUUAAUGAUUUUAGUUUAUAUAUAAUUUGUUUAAAAAAAAUUUAAAUUAUUCUAAGUAAAAUUUGUAAUAAAUAUUUUUAUAUUAAGUUUAUAAGAAAUUUGUAUUAUAAACUAGGAUUAGAUACCCUAUUAUAUUAAAUAAAUUAAAUUUAUUACUAAGAGAUUAAUAGUUAAGAUCUUGAAAUUUAAAAAAUUUGGCGGUAAAUUAAUUUAUCUAGAGGAAUUUGUUAUGUAAAUGAUAUUACACAAUUUAUCUUACCUUUUACAAGUUUGCCUACUGCCGUUUAGAAUAUUUUUAUUGAAUUAAUUUUCUUUAGAAAUUUUAUUUUUAAAAUCAGGUCAAAGUGCAGUUUAUUAUGAGGAUUUAAAUGAAUUACAUUUUUAGAAAAAACUACGGAUAAGGAUUUUAUAAAGAAAUUUUUGAAGGAGGAUUUAGAAGUAAAAAUUAUGAAUUAGCAAGUCUUUUUGAAUAAUUAACACUAAUUUAUGUACAUAUUGCCCGUCGCUCUCGUUGAUUAUAAAAUGAGAUAAGUCGUAACAUAGUAGGGUUACUGGAAAGUGUCCCUAGAUUGAAA